AUGUUGAAUCGUGUUUCAGCUCAGCUCAGUCUGAGUUCAUCAUGUUAAAUUAAAUAUUGGUUAUAGAACAUAAAAGCAUCCGUUAAACACUUGCUCGACUGAAUACAAGUCGUCAGGAUUGAGUGUAUGAUUACACAUAAAUGUUAAACUUCUUCGAUUUCAUCUAACGCAUAGUUGUUUGUUGACACAUUUGCAUAGUUGAGUUUGUUAAACCGCACAACAACUGGAUAACGAGAGUUUGGAUUUACCUGAUCAACGGUCACAACUGAUCCAACAUUGUUGCACCAAUAUGACUCAUUCCUAAGAAUUCUA
RNAcentral lists this long non-coding RNA (312 nucleotides) under Helianthus annuus (common sunflower). Its description in RNAcentral is "hypothetical non coding rna". The record is from RNAcentral. Lineage: Eukaryota; Viridiplantae; Streptophyta; Magnoliopsida; Asterales; Asteraceae.